Molecule: ribosomal RNA, 511 nt
Filed under: Butyricicoccus pullicaecorum
Lineage: Bacteria; Bacillati; Bacillota; Clostridia; Eubacteriales; Butyricicoccaceae
Description: bacterial SSU rRNA
Rfam family: Bacterial small subunit ribosomal RNA
Source: RNAcentral
CAUCGGUGACAGGUGGUGCAUGGUUGUCGUCAGCUCGUGUCGUGAGAUGUUGGGUUAAGUCCCGCAACGAGCGCAACCCUUACGGUUAGUUGCUACGCAAGAGCACUCUAGCCGGACUGCCGUUGACAAAACGGAGGAAGGUGGGGACGACGUCAAAUCAUCAUGCCCCUUAUGACUUGGGCUACACACGUACUACAAUGGCAGUCAUACAGAGGGAAGCAAAACCGCGAGGUGGAGCAAAUCCCUAAAAGCUGUCCCAGUUCAGAUUGCAGGCUGCAACUCGCCUGCAUGAAGUCGGAAUUGCUAGUAAUCGCGGAUCAGCAUGCCGCGGUGAAUACGUUCCCGGGCCUUGUACACACCGCCCGUCACACCAUGAGAGCCGGUAAUACCCGAAGUCCGUAGUCUAACCGCAAGGAGGACGCGGCCGAAGGUAGGACUGGUAAUUAGGGUGAAGUCGUAACAAGGUAGCCGUAUCGGAAGGUGCGGCUGGAUCACCUCCUUUCUAAGGAGA